UCGAACGCUCCCUUGGGGUUCGCCCCAGGGGGGAGUGGCGCACGGGUGAGUAGCGCGUGGGAACCUGCCCUCUUGUGGGGGAUAACCGAGGGAAACUUCGGCUAAUACCGCAUGCGCCCCGGCGAAGGCCGGGGGAAAGAGUGAUCUCGCAGGAGGAGGGGCCCGCGUCCGAUUAGGUAGUUGGCGGGGUAACGGCCCACCAAGCCGGUGAUCGGUAGCUGGUCUGAGAGGAUGAUCAGCCACACUGGGACUGAGAGACGGCCCAGACUCCUACGGGAGGCAGCAGUGGGGAAUAUUGGACAAUGGGGGCAACCCUGAUCCAGCAAUGCCGCGUGAGUGAGGAAGGCCUUCGGGUUGUAAAGCUCUUUCGCCCGCGACGAUGCAGNCGGUAGCGGGCGCAACA
This 403-nucleotide ribosomal RNA is filed under the name uncultured bacterium. RNAcentral describes it as "bacterial SSU rRNA". It matches the Rfam family "Bacterial small subunit ribosomal RNA", at positions 62 to 489 of the family's 1533-position model. The record is from RNAcentral.